This 479-nucleotide ribosomal RNA is filed under the name uncultured bacterium. RNAcentral's name for it is "partial 16S ribosomal RNA". It matches the Rfam family "Bacterial small subunit ribosomal RNA", at positions 29 to 523 of the family's 1533-position model. The record is from RNAcentral.
UGCAAACGCUGGCGGCGUGCCUAAUACAUGCAAGUCGAACGGGGAAAGUAGCAAUACGAGUACUAGUGGCGCACGGGUGAGGAACACGUGGGUAAUCUGCCUUCGAGCGGGGGAUAACUAAUCGAAAGAUUGGCUAAUACCGCAUAAGACCACAAGAUCUGCGGAUCUAGGGGUCAAAGCCGCAAGGCACUUGAAGAUGAGCCCGCGUAAGAUUAGCUAGUUGGUGAGGUAACGGCUCACCAAGGCGAUGAUCUUUAGCUGGUCUGAGAGGAUGAUCAGCCACACUGGAACUGAGACACGGUCCAGACUCCUACGGGAGGCAGCAGUAGGGAAUAUUGCGCAAUGGGGGCAACCCUGACGCAGCGACGCCGCGUGAGUGAUGAAGGCCUUCGGGUCGUAAAGCUCUGUUAUAUGGGAAUAAGAUCUGAAUGUACCAUGUGAGAAAGGAUCGGCUAACUUCGUGCCAGCAGCCGCCGUAA